GAAACAAAUCCUUACUUACUAAGUAUAGAAAAACCUAUUAAAGAAAUAUGUGCAAAGUCCUUUCAUACUAAAAUUAGUGUUAUUUUGACUGCAAAGCCCCCAUUGAGAAUAAACGUAUCCAAUUAAAGCAGACUGCCGCCAAACUAGUUCAACUUGUUGGGUUCGCUUUUCGCUGGCGUAAUAACAGAGGCCCAAAUCACACAGUCCCAAUGAACGGACCUCUCUGCACGGUAAUCAAAAUACUUGUGGCAAUAAAAACAACACAAACUGAUAUCAAAGACUGAACGGGGACGAAAGCCAAGGAGAAACCAUAACAAAUCAAAGCACUAAUGAAUAUUGAGAGGCCACUAAAAGGAACACGCGGCAGGAGCAACAAAUUAAUAUCGAAGAAAUACCAAAAUUCACAUAAUAAUAAAUGCAGCUCGACGAGGAGCAGGGCUAAUAAAGGGCCGGCAGGAGUGGGUAGGAGUGCGGAGCAACUUUUCCACCAGGAUAAUGAAGUGCCUGUGGGCGGGGAACGAAGAGAACACCUGCCUAACAACCGCAGGAUCGGAAUGGGAAUGAAAAUGGGAAUGCGAGCGAGACGGCAACUCCAUUGCGAGCCGAAUGAAGGUAAUAAAAAUCGUAUAAAUAACCAAAGCUAAAGACAACAGCGGCAGAAGGACUUACAGAACGCUUGAAUUAUUGUACGCAAUGCGGGGUGGGUAAACUCCCAGGCAAGUGGAGGGGGCGGCUCGUUAAUUUGCAAUAAAAUCCGAUUAUAACCACAAAAA
Molecule: long non-coding RNA, 773 nt
Organism: Drosophila biarmipes
Lineage: Eukaryota; Metazoa; Arthropoda; Insecta; Diptera; Drosophilidae
Exons: 2
Source: RefSeq, a predicted model, not a curated record